RNAcentral lists this long non-coding RNA (541 nucleotides) under Homo sapiens (human). RNAcentral describes it as "HSALNT0072837". Lineage: Eukaryota; Metazoa; Chordata; Mammalia; Primates; Hominidae. The record is from RNAcentral.
GUUCUUUCUGAUGCUAUUAGAUAUAUAAGUGAAGAUGUCAAGAUGGAUGCGUCUGAAUUUUGAGAGAAAGACUAGAGAUAUAGAUUUUGGAGUCAUCAGGAAAUACAUCAUUUUUAUGGCAUGACUGGAUGAGCUCACUAAGGGAAUAAUAUAUAUAUAGAAAAAAAAAGUCUAAAGCCCGAGUUCUGAGCAAUACUCUGCUAAGGGGUCAAAAAGGAAAGAAGGAACCAGCUAAAGAAACUUGGAGCAAGCAGUAAGGUAGCAGAUUUUGGUGUCAUGGAAGCCAAAUAAAGAGUGUUCCAAAGAGAAGGGACUAAUAAACUGUAUCAAAUGCCGCUCAUGGUUCAGGUUGACUCCUAACUGGAAAGCACCACAGAGCAAACGGCCCAUGGUGCCUGCAGGCUGCGUGGGAGCCCUGCUGCUGACCUGUGCUCAGCACCUGUCACCCACAGGUAAGUUACAAAUGCUGCUGGCACCUGUUUGCAGGGGAAUGUGGAAACAUGCAUCCGGGUUCAUCCAGACAGCUUGGGUGAGCAGGAGA